Molecule: long non-coding RNA, 874 nt
Filed under: Salvia miltiorrhiza (redroot sage)
Lineage: Eukaryota; Viridiplantae; Streptophyta; Magnoliopsida; Lamiales; Lamiaceae
Description: long non-coding RNA (SMIL_LNC005107)
Source: RNAcentral
UCUCUCUCUCCUAACACACGUUCACUCCCUCUCUCUGCGUUCUCUCCCUACGGCCCCUCACUCUCUCUAUCGUCCGGCGAGUAUCGCCGGUUCUCGCCGCCUCCGGCGCCACUUCUUGCCCUUCCUCUCCUUCUCUUCUCUUCCCUAUUUUUUCCCUUAAUUCUAAAAUCCCCAAAUUCUAGGAUUUUCUGCCUCCAUUUUCCCCUCUGAAAUCCGCCCCUCUGGCGAGGCCCACUGCCGCCGCCAUCGCCGCCGUCUCUGCUUUCCCCCUCUUUUCCUUUCUAACUUCGCCCCCAUCCUCCUCCCUCGUCUGUCUCUCUCUGCCUCAGUCUCUCGCUCAUCUCCCUUUCUCCUUCUCAGUUGGCAGCCACAGCAGACCGCCGUGGCUCGGGCAGCGCCGGCGGUCGCUGCCACCAGUCGCGCCUCCGCGCCGUUGUGGCUCGCGGCUGCUGCUGCUAAUCCCCUCCUCCUUCAUCCUUUCCCUCUUCUCUAUUUUCCAUUUCAAAAUCCUAUUUUACAAACUUCCUAUCUAUUUUCUAUUUCGGGAAUUGAUGAUUCUAGGUGUCUCCUGCGUGGCAGCUUCGACUACUGCUCAAGAUCCUUUUUUUUUAAUAUGUUAUAAGUCUGUUUCCGCUUAUUGAGGAACUGAGACAGCGUUUGUAAAAUUAGAAUUAGAGAUAUGUUUAUAGUUAUUGUUCGUUCAUUACUGUUCUUGGUUGCUUUAACACAAAGAGAUAAUUGUAUUGAAUAAAAGAAAACUACCUUCUUUGAUGUGAAUGGAUGUGAACUAUUGUUGGGAUGUUGUGUAUGCUUGUUGCUAUUUAGAAUUUGCAGAAAAAUCCUCAGACGUGAGAGAUGAGAGAAUUUAUACUGA